This is a long non-coding RNA of Aricia agestis (brown argus), 350 nucleotides long. RefSeq lists it as uncharacterized. The transcript is spliced from 3 exons. The record is from RefSeq and is a predicted model, not a curated record. Lineage: Eukaryota; Metazoa; Arthropoda; Insecta; Lepidoptera; Lycaenidae.
AUGGAUGUUGAAAUAUUAAAUUAUUUAAAUCACCUAAACUAAGUGUGCAGCUAUUGGGAAGGUAUAUAUUGCAUAUAGUAACAGUGAAAGGAAAUUUAAUUUUAAUUAUAACUGCUUCUAAGUUAGUGUUUAUAUCAAUUAAUUCUGGAAAAGUAUACGAUUUGAUAAAUAUUGCAACGCCGCCACUAGCCCUAUUACUUUGUAAACGGUUUUUAAAAAAGUGUACAUACCCAUUAAUAGAAGCACAGUAAUUUGAAGUAAAGUUUGUUUCCUGUAAACAUAUGCAUGUUGGACUUAAACGAUUAAUCAAUAGUUUAAUAUUCUCCAAUCUUUUAAAGUAACCAUUUACA